AACGAACGCUGGCGGCAUGCCUAACACAUGCAAGUCGAACGAGACCUUCGGGUCUAGUGGCGAACGGGUGCGUAACGCGUGGGAACCUGCCCUUAGGUUCGGAAUAACUCCCCGAAAGGGGUGCUAAUACCGGAUAAUGUCUUCGGACCAAAGAUUUAUCGCCUUUGGAUGGGCCCGCGUUGGAUUAGCUAGUUGGUAGGGUAAAAGCCUACCAAGGCGACGAUCCAUAGCUGGUCUGAGAGGAUGAUCAGCCACACUGGGACUGAGACACGGCCCAGACUCCUACGGGGGGCAGCAGUGGGGAAUAUUGGACAAUGGGCGAAAGCCUGAUCCAGCAAUGCCGCGUGAGUGAUGAAGGCCUUAGGGUUGUAAAGCUCUUUUACCCGGGAUGAUAAUGACAGUACCGGGAGAAUAAGCUCCGGCUAACUCCGUG
RNAcentral lists this ribosomal RNA (433 nucleotides) under uncultured bacterium. Its description in RNAcentral is "partial 16S ribosomal RNA". It matches the Rfam family "Bacterial small subunit ribosomal RNA", at positions 29 to 507 of the family's 1533-position model. The record is from RNAcentral.